Salmo trutta (river trout) is the source of this 1874-nucleotide long non-coding RNA. The record is from Ensembl. Lineage: Eukaryota; Metazoa; Chordata; Actinopteri; Salmoniformes; Salmonidae.
CUCCAGUUAUCAUUGAAUUGUACAGCUUAAUGGAAGAGUUUGUGUCAGUAUGACUCCAUCUUUUUGAAGACAUUGUGUUUUUCUUACUGGCACCGUGGGAGGCUUGGCAUCCGGAGUAGGAGGACAUUUUCUAGGAGACAUUCAGGCGUAAAUGGAUUUCCUGGUGAAAGGGAGUAGAGUGAGGAGGGAAAUAUAUCUGUAUUAUUAACAAAACACGAUGAACAAGAACAAGUUUAACUUUCAGAAGCACAGGAUUCCUUUGGCCUUUUUGUACGCAUCUCAGUCUGUGGAUAUUUUUUAUUUUUUUAUUUUUAUUUUUUUACAGAGUUCAUUGUGGAUGUUAUAUAACUGUGUGUGGCAAGAACCAUCCAACCCGGCUGAACAUGUGAGCUACCAUCGAGUCUACAACAAGGAACACUGUCUCGAGUCACAACCAACUCAGGCCUACCCCCCUCCUGUUACCUUCUUACCCCAGAACCCCUACACACAUCCUCUCUCCAACAACCCCCUGUACCCCGCCAGCUACCCCACCCAAGGCCAAGGUCAGGGCGAGGCGCCACGGCCCCUCUUCCCUAAGGAGCAGUCCGUGUGACCCCCUGAAAUCAUUCUGGAGCUCCAGCUCAGUAAGAGCCAUCAUCAGAGCUGAUGUAACCUGAAAUACAGGAAGCUACACCAAGCUUUGCUCUAAGGGUGUGUAUGCCCCCCCACCCCCACCACCACCACCACCACCACCACCACCUCUCUCUCUCUCUCUCUCUCUCUCUCUCUCUCUCUCUCUCUCUCUCUCUCUCUCUCGCUCUCUCUCUCACUGUCUCUCUCUCACUCUCUCUCUCUCUCUCUCUCUGUCUCUCUCUCUGUCUCUCUCUCUCUCUCUCUCUCUGUGUCUCUCUCUCUCUCUGUCUCUCUGUCUCUCUGUCUCUCUCUGUCUCUCUCUCUCUCUCUCUCUGUCUCUCUCUCUCUCUCUCUCUCUCUCUCUCUCUCUCUCUCUCUCUGUUUCUAUUAGCCUGAUGAUGGAGUGGGCCUCCCCCUGCUAUGAUGGAAGUGUCAGUAGUUUGUGGACCUUAAAACCUUGUGUGUUGUGCACUGCAUGUUCCACCGAGGCUGUCAGUAUGACUCCUCAUCUUGUGCUGUUAUUGUAGACACCACUGCCAUCACAUUCCACUCCACUCAGCCUCACCCUCACCACCCUAAUGUAGGUGUGUUCUUCAACUAGCUGUCCUCAAUGUCUUGAUUGCUUCCAUAUCCUUGUAAAUGUUCAUUUUUAACUUUUGCCAAGUGUUCAACAAUGUACAAUAUACACCACUGGGUCACUCAAGAUUUAUUUAAUACUUUUUCUCUUCCCACAGUAGUAGGGACAUCUUUUCUCUUCCCACAGUGCUAGGAACCUAUUUUCUCUUCCCACAGUGAUAGGGACCUCUUUUCUCUUCCCACAGUGAUAGGGACCUCUUUUCUCUUCCCACAGUAGUAGGGACCUCUUUUCUCUUCCCACAGUGAUAGGGACCUCUUAUCUCUUCCCACAGUGGUAGUGACCUCUCUUCUCUUGAUUGGUAUACACUUUUGUACGUAUGGACUUUUGUUUUAUGUUUGUUAAUAAUAAUUUGCUUGCUUCUUUAUAAAUACGUACAUGUAUGUGUGAUUGCGUGUGUGAUGGUGAAAGUACAUGACAUUUUAUUUCUGUCAUCAUUGUUUUUAAUAAUAAAUAUCUGACAUGGACUAUAUCAACAGGAUAAUUGGUAGUUUGACCUGGAUCACUCCUCUCAAAAACAUCUACAAUUAGGACUGAUUUGGUUAUUUUGGAUUACUAACAGUGUUAUGUUAUCACCCCCAUAAGAUAUAACGUCAAGCUAAGGGCUCUAAAUCCAAUCGAAGUACAG